Molecule: ribosomal RNA, 562 nt
Filed under: Haematoloechus sp. BOLD:ACK9781
Lineage: Eukaryota; Metazoa; Platyhelminthes; Trematoda; Plagiorchiida; Haematoloechidae
Description: SSU rRNA
Rfam family: Eukaryotic small subunit ribosomal RNA
Source: RNAcentral
UCUCAGAGAUUAAGCCAUGCAUGUCUAAGUACAUACCUUUAAACGGUGAAACCGCGAAUGGCUCAUUAAAUCAGCUAUGGUUCCUUAGAUCGUACCUACUACAUGGAUAACUGUAGUAAUUCUAGAGCUAAUACAUGCCACUAUGCCCUGACCCGCAAGGGAACGGGUGGAUUUAUUAGAACAGAACCAACCGUGAAGUGGCUUCGGCUGCUUCCGUUGCACUCUGUGAUGACUCUGGAUAACUUCACUGAUCGCAGUCGGCCUUGUGUCGGCGACGGAUCUUUCAAAUGUCUGCCCUAUCAAUUUUCGAUGGUAGGUGACCUGCCUACCAUGGUGAUAACGGGUAACGGGGAAUCAGGGUUCGAUUCCGGAGAGGGAGCCUGAGAAACGGCUACCACUUCCAAGGAAGGCAGCAGGCGCGCAAACUACCCAAUCCCGGCACGGGGAGGUGGUGACGAAAAAUACGGAUACGGGACUUAACUAAGGCUCCGUAAUUCGAAUGAGUACAAUUUAAAUCCUUUAACGAGGAUCAACUGGAGGGCAAGUCUGGUGCCAGCAGCCG